This 468-nucleotide ribosomal RNA is filed under the name uncultured bacterium. RNAcentral's name for it is "partial 16S ribosomal RNA". It matches the Rfam family "Bacterial small subunit ribosomal RNA", at positions 28 to 507 of the family's 1533-position model. The record is from RNAcentral.
GAUGAACGCUGGCGGCGUGCUUAACACAUGCAAGUCGAACGGAAAGACCCUGCUUUUGCUGCUUUCUCGAUUGGCGAACACGUGAGUGUCACGUGAGUAUCCUGCCCCUGUCUGUGUGAUAACUUCAGGGAACUGGGGCUAAUACCGCAUAUGACCUCCUGCUGCACAUUGUUGAAUGGAAAGUUUCGGCGGUUGGGGAUGGACUCGCUGCUUAUGAGCUUGUUUGUGGGGUAGUGGCUUACCAAGGCUUCGACGGGUAGCCCGCCUGAGAGGGUGACCGGGCACAUUGGGACUGAGAUAGGGACCAGAAUGCUACCGGACGCAGCAGUGGGGAAUAUUGCACAAUGGGGCGACGCCUGAUGCAGCAACGCCGCGUGCGGGAUGACGUCCUUCGAGUUGUGAACCAAUUUGGAAUGUGACGAAGAGGUAGUGACGGUACCGGGUAAAGAAGCCCCGGCUAACUACGUG